Molecule: signal recognition particle RNA, 280 nt
Filed under: Castor canadensis (American beaver)
Lineage: Eukaryota; Metazoa; Chordata; Mammalia; Rodentia; Castoridae
Description: Metazoan signal recognition particle RNA (ENSCCNG00000025932.1)
Rfam family: Metazoan signal recognition particle RNA
About the family: The signal recognition particle (SRP) is a universally conserved ribonucleoprotein. It is involved in the co-translational targeting of proteins to membranes.
Source: RNAcentral
ACCAUAAUUUGCAUCUGUGGUCCUUGCUACUCUGGAGGCUGAGGCAGGAGGAUCGCUGGAGUCCAGGAGUCUUGGGCUUCAUUGUGCUAGGCCAGUCGGGAUGCCACACUAAGUUCGGCAUCAAUUUGUGGACCUUCUGGGAGCAGGGGACCACCAGGUUGCCUAAUGAGGAGUGAGCCAGCCUAGGUUGGGAAUGAAGCAGGUCAGAACUCCUGUGCUGAUCACUAGUACAUCUCUUUAAAAACUCAGUCAUCUUGUCAUUCACCCCUAAAUACUGCCA